GAGAGACGAGGAAGGAUCGUAGUGUGUCGAGGAGAACUUCCUCAGAGCCGUAGUCUGCUGAGGAAGUCAUGCUCAGAAUCGUAGAGACAGCCUGUCUAAGAGUCGACCGAGCAUCUGCCAAAGCCAAGUCAAGAAUCGUAGACCACACUCGGAGUCGUAGAGUCUACUUAUCAAAUGAGAGGCAGAGAUCGUAGUCGAGCUAGAUCAGAUGAAAACAACAAG
RNAcentral lists this long non-coding RNA (222 nucleotides) under Panax ginseng (ginseng). RNAcentral's name for it is "long non-coding RNA (PGIN_LNC010928)". The record is from RNAcentral. Lineage: Eukaryota; Viridiplantae; Streptophyta; Magnoliopsida; Apiales; Araliaceae.